This 300-nucleotide unclassified non-coding RNA is filed under the name Lecanoromycetes sp. RNAcentral's name for it is "partial contains small subunit ribosomal RNA and internal transcribed spacer 1". The record is from RNAcentral. Lineage: Eukaryota; Fungi; Ascomycota; Lecanoromycetes.
AAGUCGUAACAAGGUUUCCUUCACCUAUUGAAGCCUUCAGCAGCGACUGUAAAGAAAUGCGUAGUUUGCUUGCAAGCAAUGCCACUCAAAUGCUGAGACAUAUGAAUCAGCAGCCUUUUAGGCUCACAGAUCAAAUUGUGGUAACCAUUCUUAUGGGCAAGAUAUGACCGGUCUUAGCUAGAGUUAGUUAAGAAUCCACGUUCCGUAGGUGAACCUGCGGAAGGAUCAUUACUGGGUAAAGGCCUCGCGCCUCCAACCCCACCCUCCGUAACCGCGGCCCGGAUUCGGCGCUCGGCGGGG